Molecule: ribosomal RNA, 550 nt
Filed under: uncultured bacterium
Lineage: Bacteria
Description: bacterial SSU rRNA
Rfam family: Bacterial small subunit ribosomal RNA
Source: RNAcentral
UGGGGAAUAUUGGACAAUGGGCGCAAGCCUGAUCCAGCCAUACCGCGUGGGUGAAGAAGGCCUUCGGGUUGUAAAGCCCUUUUGUUGGGAAAGAAAUCCAGCUGGUUAAUACCCGGUUGGGAUGACGGUACCCAAAGAAUAAGCACCGGCUAACUUCGUGCCAGCAGCCGCGGCAAUACGAAGGGUGCAAGCGUUACUCGGAAUUACUGGGCGUAAAGCGUGCGUAGGUGGUCGUUUAAGUCCGUUGUGAAAGCCCUGGGCUCAACCUGGGAACUGCAGUGGAUACUGGACGACUAGAGUGUGGUAGAGGGUAGCGGAAUUCCUGGUGUAGCAGUGAAAUGCGUAGAGAUCAGGAGGAACAUCCAUGGCGAAGGCAGCUACCUGGACCAACACUGACACUGAGGCACGAAAGCGUGGGGAGCAAACAGGAUUAGAUACCCUGGUAGUCCACGCCCUAAACGAUGCGAACUGGAUGUUGGGUGCAAUUUGGCACGCAGUAUCGAAGCUAACGCGUUAAGUUCGCCGCCUGGGGAGUACGGUCGCAAGACUG